GCUGCGCGACUCCAGCUCCAUUAAGCUCCGCAACCACCUUCUUCCAUCUUUCCCCUCCUCGCGUCUCGGGCGCGCUGCCGCCGCUACCUCUCUCUCUGCCACGCACCGCAGCCACACCGCGAGCCACUGACACUCCCUUGCAGUUGCCCAGCUCCUCUCGCCUCCGCGCGCGCAGCUCCUCUCCACCUCCACCCCGCGCCAACGGCACCAGCAGCGGCAGCGCUCCACUGCUGUCCGCCGAUCUCUCUCUCUCUCAACCCACGCCACUCAUGAAGCCGCGGCUCUCCAAACGCCGCCGCUUUCCACCUGAGCGUCGCAAGCUACUGAGUCCCUUGCCGCACCUUCGCUCCAUGUAGUCAUCGAGGUGGAGGUAUUCGUCUAACUCCUGUUCUUUAACAUGUCCAGCAGCCCGUGUUGGUAAUUUUUCAAUUUUAAGUGCAUAGGGCAAUUUUGGAGUCAUUUGGGAUUUAUUUUGCCGCUUCAGUUAUUGCGUAAAUUGAAGUGAAUUGUUGGACUACUAUGGGCAUCCACUGAGCGCUGCUUCACUUGGGUUUUUGUUGAAAUUUUUGCUGAUUCGGUUGGCUAGUUGAGAUUUUUCAUUUACUAGAGUUUACCCCCAGUGGUACUGGUGGGAAUAUUUUAAAUUGAAUCUGUUACCUCUAAUUGGUUGGCUGAGUUCUUAUUGACAAAUUUCUAAGCUGUCGUAGUUGCAUUUGCUGGUUUUGACUUAUCAUUGCCUGGCCAACUGGAACCAUCUGUUGAGAUUUUGGGUGGACCUACAUACUGCAAUUGUCUAUUGAUAUUUGGGUGAUUUGGUUCUGCUACUGCCUGUUGAUUUGGAAACCUGGUUGCUUGAUUUACUUGUUGAGAUUGGUAGUUUUCAGUUGAGUUGUUGGGGCGCUCUAGCUGUUGGUUUCUAUUAUUGAUUUGGAGGGACAUUGUUAGUGAUUUGGGUUGCCUGUUUGCAUUGUUUCUUACCUAUGUGUGCAUCAGUGGCAUUGGUUGGGAUGUUUUGACUAGCAUUUGUUAUUUCUAUUUGGUUGGCUGCCUGAUUGGGAACUAAGUGCUUGUCAUUGUGUGGUUAUUAUCAAAUUUCUAAACUGCUUUUGCUGGAAUUGCCGAUUUUGAGUUAAGAAAUUAACAGUCCAAUUGGAGACAUUUAUUAAGAUUUUGGGAUGGGCAAGUUUUGUCAGCUUUUAUGCAGAAAUUUGGCAGCAUUUAUGCAGCACACCGGAAUUUCUCCUUAAUUUCUGCCUAACCCUCAACUAUUUUGACGACUCCAGGGAAGUACCGUUGCCCUUCUCCUUCCUUUUGUUGUUAGUUUAUCACAUUGAGGGCAAUGUGUGAUUUAGGUGUGGGGGGGAGCAAAUGGGGGGUGCUAGCGUUUCUAGUUUUUAGGUGUUAUUUAUUUAUUUAUUUAUUUUUCUCAUAUUUUUUUCCUUUCUUUCUUUUUAGUUUGUUAUUUGGCCAUCUUUCGUGUAUUUCCUUUCUUUCUUUUUAGUGAUUAGUUCACAUGUGCAUGCCAAGGUUUGAUGUUGGAUUGUUGCCCCUAUUUCUACUUUUGCCUAGUUUUAAUAAUAAAAAUGUAUCGAGUUAAUGUGGUUGAAUCCAAGAGCAUUUCUUUGGUGAAUAUCAGUGAUUAUGUAGCUCUUUUAAUUUUUGGUUAACUUCUCUAAGCAUAGGAAAUAAUUGUUGGCAUUUUCAUGUGAAUUGGUCCAAUGAUUAAUUUUAGUUCUCUAUGUUUGAAAAAUGAGGUUAGCUGACGCAAAUUUUCUUUUGAUUUUUUGUGUUAUUUUGAGUUUCUGAUGUUAUUUAACUGUGAAUAAGAGUUGGCUGUACUCCGCUAGUCUUUACUACCGAGUAACCGGGGAUCUUCACCAAAAAUGUCGAUUCUCGCGUAAAAAAGUACUAAUUGCUAUGAGUACGUGGUUACGUGGCGAUAGAAACUGAGUAAUCGGGCUCUUUCAUCUGACAAAUGUCGGAGUUCGCGUCAAAAGGCUCCAAUGGCUAGCGACUAAGUCUUUUAUUACUAUUGAGAACAGCAAAAAAAAAAAGAGGGAAAAAAUCAAAAAAAAAGAGAAGAGAAAAGUAGACAAAUGUGAUAAAAAAAGUGAAGGUUGUGUUAGUGUAUAAAAAUAGUCAUCUCGCCGAUUUAUAGAUUUAAUGUUGAGAUUUUGGUUAAUAGUUGGACCAUUUGCUGAUAAAUGUUGUGCGUCAUUCCAUUUUCUUAGAUUAGUUAACCUGAAAUUGGAGGAGUUUGUGAUUUAGAAACUAACCAGAGUGAUGUUUCUUGGAUCUUGAUCACUAAUGCUUGAUAUAUAUUUUUCUUGAUAUUUUGGCAAUAUGGUGGAUAGGGCAAUAGUCUUUGUCAAAUAUUGAUGUUUGUUUGUUGUUCUCAUGUUUGAGGACAAGCAUGGUUUAGGUUUGGGGGGAAUUGAUCGGUUGCAAUUUUAUCAUUUAUUUUAUUAUUAAUUUUUCCUAUUACCUGAUUUGAUGUGGAUUAAUUAUUAGAUUCUACUCACUUUUCGUAAUUUACAUUCAUUUCAGGAAGUAGAGCAAAAAUAUCAUAAUAAAUGUCAAUUUGACAGUUAUCAGGAAAGAAUUCAAGUAGCAAGCAUCCAGGGUAUUUUUGGAAGAGGGGGACACAAGUCCUUUUUGGUAAUUUGCGGAAGAAAAGGAACGAAGGACUGGAGUCUUCUUCUCCCUCUAGGGAGAGAGCCGCCGCGCAGCAUAGAGAGACUAAUUAGAUACGAAAUGGAAUGGCAAUUGAUGAGCACUAGCUGGACGUUUUAGCCUUUGACUUUUCUUAGUUGUUUAGUUUUUAGUACUUACCUUUUCAUUCCGUGGAUGGGAGGAACAAUUAGGAAAACAUUGAAUCAUCUCCUGCUCCUUUGUUUUUCUUUAUCCCUUUGACUAAAUUUAAUUUGCCCAUCUUUCAUUUGAUGGCCGCGGCUCUUUCGCCAAUUUUGUGUGGGCUUUGUUCAGUAAGAAUGAACUAAUUUCCCUUGUCUAGUCAAGGGACAACGG
This 3027-nucleotide long non-coding RNA is filed under the name Coffea arabica (coffee). RNAcentral's name for it is "long non-coding RNA (CARA_LNC001778)". The record is from RNAcentral. Lineage: Eukaryota; Viridiplantae; Streptophyta; Magnoliopsida; Gentianales; Rubiaceae.